Molecule: ribosomal RNA, 208 nt
Filed under: uncultured bacterium
Lineage: Bacteria
Description: partial 16S ribosomal RNA
Rfam family: Bacterial small subunit ribosomal RNA
Source: RNAcentral
UGCGCAGACGGUUGUGUAAGACAGGUGUGAAAUCCCCGGGCUUAACCUGGGAACUGCGCUUGUGACUGCACGACUAGAGUAUGGCAGGAGGGGGGUGGAAUUCCACGUGUAGCAGUGAAAUGCGUAGAGAUGUGGAGGAACACCGAUGGCGAAGGCAGCCCCCUGGGCCAAUACUGACGCUCAUGCACGAAAGCGUGGGGAGCAAACA